UCGUCGAACGUCAUCCUGAGUAGAGUUGUGGAGACUUUUAUUCGGCGAUCGUUGCGUAUUAAGUUGAAAUUAAAAUGUAUCCAGUCAAUUGACAAACAUAUUUCUACGAAAUCGUUUAGGAUUGCGUUCUCGAAAAUCGGCGGAUUCUGUGAAGUGGAAGUGGAGUGAAGUGGAAGUUAUGUCAAGGUUGGCAACAGCAAAGAUCGAAGAUUCUCAAGGAACCGGAGGGGUGGCGAAGAAGAACGCGCAACAAAGGUCCACAGUUCUUGUAUUCCGAUAAUGUGUACUUACUGACGACUCCUACCGCACCCGGUUGCUCCUUCAUAACAAACUUCAGCGUCAGAAGUGCCAGCAAAUUAGGCAAAUAGAGUUCUUCGUCGCCGGUAAGACCGUUGCUGAGAGCAGGAUUGAAGUACCAGAAUCCUCGAGGCACUCACUCGUAAAAAAAUGGACCCACUUCCUGAAGAAUCGGCUUCUGGCCCGCCGUUAUUUCCACAGGAUUCGUCACGUUGAACAGGUAAACCUUGAAGUCCAACGGAAAAGGAAGAUUCGACCACAACCCUCGCAUCUCGGAACCUGGUUUAAGUGCUACUUGCUGGAAAGACGAAUUCGAUAAUCUGUUGUACUCGAUUUCACCGGAAAAUCCUGAGCUUCGUUCAGCAAUUUUUCAAGACAUAUUUUUCAAGAUAUUUUUUACAGACUUAUUGGCCUUUUCUGUUGUUCCUAAUGCAACAGCAAUUUAAUUUCAUUUAAUCGCCAAAAAUAUUGACCUAGCCACCGCCUUGCGGGGGUUAAUAAUAUGAUGGCGACAACGUGGAAUAGCACACAACAUAAAAGAAAGGUUCGAGGAAGCAACAACAUUUUGCAAAUAGAAAAUUGAAACUCCGGAAAUUAAACUGACAAUUCAAAUAUUGAUUUCGAGUCAUUAUCGAAGCGUUUGCAAUGCUAUUUUGCGAGAAAACAAAAUUGCUGAUCGACAAAAGCACGAGUAUAAGCUCGUGAACCGUCAACCGACGGAACAUGAAGAGACGGGAAGCAAAGGUAUGCGUGUCGAAGACGCGCCGAUGGAAACGCGAUUGUAAUGAAGUAGAAAUGAAACAAAGGAUAAUGAAAGGAGAAUUGUCUGGGAAAAUGUUUAUCUCGCGCAAAGAUCCGCGGUCCAGUUGUGUGCAAAUCAGGAGAAACGUCGACGAUUUUUGGAAAACGAAAUCAAGGAGGACGGACGAAAAUUUUCAACGAAGAAUCUCUGUUUUAAUAAUGUUCUUUGUUUACGGAUCACAAGAGAAACGACACGAAACCAACAGAGAGAUUCCGCACUUACUUUCUUGACUUGCGAUCUGAGGAUGGUCGGAAAGGUGAAAAAUUCUAAAGGAGUCGAGGACGUUUUACCAAUAAUAUCGCAGAUGCUCGAAAAAGAUUAACUUUUCAUUCGACACCAUUCUGCAGAGUGUCGUGAAAGAAGCCAUCGGCAAGAUUAUGUAUUCAGCAAUAUUUCUCCCUAAUGUAGACGUUCAUAAGUUACACCCAGACGUGAAGUCAGUAGAAAGUCUUCCGAAGUUCUUUACUUCAUUUAUUUAUAACUUCUAUAAUAUCGACACUUCGCCCGUUGACAGUUGAUAAUUUUCUUAAAACCACGGACAAACAAUCCAGGUCUUUACAGUGAUAGUAACUUCAAUUUAUGUGAUAAUAAUUUCUUCUUUUUAAUUCCACUGAUUUCUUCGGGAAUUUCGUUCACGAGUUUUACGAAUUUUUGAACGCGACUGUACAUAUUCCACAUUCUGGAAUAUAUUUUGGAAUAUUCCGUAUUCCGGGGCGUGGAAUUCCACGUUCACGAUUUUCCCUGUUCCGAGGUCUUACGACCAUUCUUUUUUUUUGUUGUCAUCGUGACUUUAAAUAAGAAGUUACUAACAAUGUAAUCGAGCGUAAUUAGCGACAGUGAAUUCCAGGAAUCGAACGGACGAGCUCGUUAAAAUCUGGUUAAAUGAUAUUUCUGAUUUAGUCGGACGUGAUUUAUAUUUAUAACUUAUUUGGAGAAACACUGUAGUGAACUUACAUAUUUAUACUUAUAAAUUAUUAUAAUAUACUUAAUAUUAUAUAUA
Non-coding RNA from Megalopta genalis, 2099 nucleotides. Lineage: Eukaryota; Metazoa; Arthropoda; Insecta; Hymenoptera; Halictidae. The record is from RefSeq and is a predicted model, not a curated record.